RNAcentral lists this non-coding RNA (30 nucleotides) under Rattus norvegicus (Norway rat). Lineage: Eukaryota; Metazoa; Chordata; Mammalia; Rodentia; Muridae. The record is from RNAcentral.
UGACCUACGUUACUUUGUAGAUACGGAGAG